GAAAAGGGUGGCGGUGGAUUCGGGUUUUUUCUGUGAAGAAGAGGAAAUGCCCUUUUAUUUUAUUUUCUUUUUCCUUUUUUGUUUUCAGAGAUCUCUCUCUCUCUUAAUGAGAGAGUCCAAAGAGACGUUGAGAGUGCCUUUUUUGGAAGAAGAAGAGAUUUUUGUUUUUUAUCCUAUUUUGAAAAGUGAGAGAGAGGAGAGAGACUCAAGAGAGACGUUGAGAGUGGCCUCUUUUCUCCUAGGCAUCUGUUGGGUUUUUUUUAUCAUGUAUGCUUCUUCAGCUUUUGUUUUUUUGUUGAUG
This 301-nucleotide long non-coding RNA is filed under the name Lathyrus oleraceus (garden pea). RNAcentral's name for it is "Pisum sativum (pea) long non-coding RNA (PSAT_LNC009095)". The record is from RNAcentral. Lineage: Eukaryota; Viridiplantae; Streptophyta; Magnoliopsida; Fabales; Fabaceae.